Molecule: ribosomal RNA, 253 nt
Filed under: uncultured bacterium
Lineage: Bacteria
Description: partial 16S ribosomal RNA
Rfam family: Bacterial small subunit ribosomal RNA
Source: RNAcentral
UACGUAGGGUGCAAGCGUUGUCCGGAAUUAUUGGGCGUAAAGAGCUUGUAGGCGGUUUGUCGCGUCUGCUGUGAAAUUUCGGGGCUCAACCCCGAACUUGCAGUGGGUACGGGCAGACUAGAGUGUGGUAGGGGAGACUGGAACUCCUGGUGUAGCGGUGGAAUGCGCAGAUAUCAGGAGGAACACCGGUGGCGAAGGCGGGUCUCUGGGCCGAUACUGACGCUGAGGAGCGAAAGCGUGGGGAGCGAACAGG